UGCCAGCCGCCGCGGUAAGACGAACCGUGCGAACGUUGUUCGGAAUCACUGGGCUUAAAGGGUGCGUAGGCGGAUGGGUCAGUCGGAGGUGAAAUCCUGCAGCUCAACUGUAGAACUGCCUUCGAAACUGCCUAUCUUGAGGGAGGUAGGGGCACGUGGAACUUCCGGUGGAGCGGUGAAAUGCGUAGAGAUCGGAAGGAACACCAGUGGCGAAGGCGACUUCCUGGGCCAAUACUGACGCUGAGGUGCGAAAGCGUGGGGAGCAAACAGGAUUAGAUA
RNAcentral lists this ribosomal RNA (279 nucleotides) under uncultured bacterium. RNAcentral describes it as "partial 16S ribosomal RNA". It matches the Rfam family "Bacterial small subunit ribosomal RNA", at positions 506 to 784 of the family's 1533-position model. The record is from RNAcentral.